GAUGAACGCUGGCGGCGUGCCUAAUACAUGCAAGUCGAGCGAACAGACGAGGAGCUUGCUCCUCUGACGUUAGCGGCGGACGGGUGAGUAACACGUGGAUAACCUACCUAUAAGACUGGGAUAACUUCGGGAAACCGGAGCUAAUACCGGAUAAUAUAUUGAACCGCAUGGUUCAAUAGUGAAAGACGGUUUUGCUGUCACUUAUAGAUGGAUCCGCGCCGCAUUAGCUAGUUGGUAAGGUAAAGGCUUACCAAGGCAACGAUGCGUAGCCGACCUGAGAGGGUGAUCGGCCACACUGGAACUGAGACACGGUCCAGACUCCUACGGGAGGCAGCAGUAGGGAAUCUUCCGCAAUGGGCGAAAGCCUGACGGAGCAACGCCGCGUGAGUGAUGAAGGUCUUCGGAUCGUAAAACUCUGUUAUUAGGGAAGAACAAAUGUGUAAGUAACUAUGCCCGUCUUGACGGUACCUAAUCAGAAAGCCACGGCUAACUACGUG
Molecule: ribosomal RNA, 497 nt
Filed under: uncultured bacterium
Lineage: Bacteria
Description: partial 16S ribosomal RNA
Rfam family: Bacterial small subunit ribosomal RNA
Source: RNAcentral